RNAcentral lists this small nuclear RNA (321 nucleotides) under Pogona vitticeps (central bearded dragon). RNAcentral describes it as "7SK RNA (ENSPVIG00000005723.1)". It matches the Rfam family "7SK RNA". Rfam says of the family: 7SK was discovered as an abundant small nuclear RNA in the mid-70s but a possible function has only recently been suggested. Two independent studies have found that 7SK RNA binds the CDK9/cyclin T complex (known as elongation factor P-TEFb). Lineage: Eukaryota; Metazoa; Chordata; Lepidosauria; Squamata; Agamidae. The record is from Rfam by way of RNAcentral.
GGCUGUGAGGGCGAACUGGCUACGACCUUUGUCACCUCAAUGAUCACCAGGAUUGAUUUGGGUGAUCUGGCUGACUAAGCGUGUGUCCCCUUCCUCCCUCACCACUCCAUGUGCAUCCUUCCAGAAGCUUCCAUAUUCAAUAGAAGAGGACAACCAUCCCAAAAAGGAGUGUACCAUUCUUCAGUCAAGGCAGGGUAUAGACAUUUUUAAAGUGCUUUUUCUAUAAGGAACUGGAUCUAAAGUUCAUGUGAAUGGAAGAGUUUACUGCUCACUAAGUCAUCCUAGUGUAGGAAUGGGGAAAGAGGCUUUUACCUAUUCAUU